This 456-nucleotide long non-coding RNA is filed under the name Fukomys damarensis (Damara mole-rat). Its description in RNAcentral is "lncRNA (ENSFDAG00000021640.1)". Lineage: Eukaryota; Metazoa; Chordata; Mammalia; Rodentia; Bathyergidae. The record is from RNAcentral.
GAGCAGGAAUCACCUGCCACCUUCUCCUGUCACACAAAUGCUCCCAUUAGCAGACCCUAUGGUGGGCACCCAAGUGCAUCAGAUAGCAGUUCCUUUGCAGGCUUGUCUGUCUCCUUACCUGGCCUCUCUCAGUAACAGAGAGACCUUAACCUGCUGGUGCUACAUCCACUGGUCCAUCCGUAGGGGCCAACUGAAUUCUCCAAUGGAGGAAGGAAGGGCAGCGUGUCUGAAGGGCUAAGCAGGACCAUGUACGGAACAGAUGAGAAAGGAGAACAAGUUGUGCUUCCCCCCUCCCCUCCUUCCUGCUAAAUGCCAUGGAUAUAUCCGAAUAAGCCGCUCAGGGCUCUCCCCGCGUGGACGUCGGAGGCCACCAUCUGCCCGCAGUCGCCGGAGCCCGAGGGCUUAGCUGGAGCCCGACUUGGGCGAGGAAGGAUGCGUGGCCGAGCCGGGGAGCCC